Molecule: long non-coding RNA, 1104 nt
Organism: Dreissena polymorpha
Lineage: Eukaryota; Metazoa; Mollusca; Bivalvia; Myida; Dreissenidae
Exons: 3
Source: RefSeq, a predicted model, not a curated record
GUCACUGUGACCUUGAAUGUAAAAAUGUUAAAGUUCUUAUUUCAUGGUAUAACAUUGGUAUGCUUGGACCUAGAGUCUUCAAACUUGACAUGAAGGUUGGCCAGGAUUAACAGAUGACCACUGGUCAUUUCAAGGUCAUUCAUUUGAAGGUGAAGGUCACUGUGACCUUCAAUAUAAAAAUGUUAAAGUUGUUAUAACUUUGGUAUGCUUGGACCUAGAGUCUUGAAACUUGACAUGAAGGUUGGCCAGAACUAGUAAGUAACCACUGGAUAUUUCAAGGUCAUUCAUUUGAAGGUCAAGGUCACUGUGACCUUGAAUGUAAAAAUGUUAAAGUUGUUAUAACUUUGGUAUGCUUGGACCUAGAGUCUUGAAACUUGACAUGAAGGUUGGCCAGAACUAGUAAGUAACCACUGGACAUUUCAAGGUCAUUCAUUUGAAGGUCAAGGUCACUGUGACCUUCAAUAUAAAAAUGUUAAAGUUGUUAUAACUUUGGUAUGCUUGGACCUAGAGUCUUGAAACUUGACAUGAAGGUUGGCCAUAACUAGUUAGUAACCACUGGUCAUUUCAAGGUCAUUCAUUUGAAGGUGAAGGUCACUGUGACCUUCAAUAUAAAAAUGUUAAAGUUGUUAUAACUUUGGUAUGCUUGGACCUAGAGUCUUGAAACUUGACAUGAAGGUUGGCCAGAACUAGUAAGUAACCACUGGACAUUUCAAGGUCAUUCAUUUGAAGGUCAAGGUCACUGUGACCUUGAAUGUAAAAAUGUUAAAGUUGUUAUAACUUUGGUAUGCUUGGACCUAGAGUCUUGAAACUUGACAUGAAGGUUGGCCAGAACUAGUAAGUAACCACUGGACAUUUCAAGGUCAUUCAUUUGAAGGUCAAGGUCACUGUGACCUUGAAUGUUAAAAUGUUAAAGUUCUUAUUUCAUGGUAUAACUUUGGUAUGCUUGGACCUAGAGUCUUCAAACUUGAAAUAAAGAUUGGCCAGUACUAGAAGAUGACCACUGGUCAUUUCAAUGUCAUUCAUUUGAAGGUCAAGGUCACUGUGACCUUAAAUGUUAAAAUGUUAAAAUUGUUAUAACUUUGGUAUGCUUGGACAUAGAGUCUU